GACGAUUACACGAGUUAAAUGAUUUGAUGGUGACUAGGAUAGAUCGGAGAAUGGUGUAUGAAUGGAAAUCGUGACGAAGUUCUUUUGUUGUCGAUGGCGGCAAUGUGUGAGGGGUAGCUGGAAGAGUUGGUGUUUAUGUGUUUGUGUGUCGGUAAAACGUUGUUGCGGUUUUGGUUUUAAGAUUUGGUGGUUUGUGUUUGUGGCUUGCAAAUCGGAAGUUUGGAGGAAGAAAUAAUGGUUUUGGGUUGUUGGUGGAGUGAAUGGAGGUUUGUGAUGAACGGUUUGUGGGGUUGUGACGGUGGUGUGAAGGUUGUGAUGGCGAUGGCGGAGGAAGGUGUUCGAAGGAAGAUGGUGUGGGUCACCGAGUCGUGAUGGAGAAGAAGACGAGUCUUCUCUUCUCUUUUUUUCUUUUCCUUUUCUUUAUUCAGAAAGAUGUUGAAAGAGUUAUGUUUUGGGUUGUUUGGAAGGAUGAGGGCGAAACCUUGGAGGAAGAAAGGAGAACAGUGUUCUUCUCAGAAAAGUGAAGAGGAUUCUUUUUCUUUUUUUCGACUGAAUUGUCCCUCUUUUUCACGGUCUUCCCUGGCAUUUUUUUCUCUCCCAGAAAAAGAAGGAUUCGUUGGAAUUUAUUGGGUGACUGGAGUAAUCGAGUGACAACAAGAAAAGUGGGUUGGACCGUUAGGCAUGGAGCACGUGUAUAAUUUUUAUUGGAGACAAAGAUUUGUGGAUUUUGGUGGAUAUUUAAUGUGAGAAUUUGAACGUGAAGAUGAGUAAGAGAUUCAUUGAGAGAGGUGAUGGAAACGUGACAUAUGUUGAUCGGAAGAAGGAGAUAUUUUUUCCAUUUUUUAUGAUUUUCUUAAUUAAUUUAUUUAUUUAUUAAAAUAACUAUAUUUUGAUUGGAUUGAUAGGAAAAAUAUGGAUAAUAUAUGUGGGUCUUUGAUUAAAUUUGAAUCGAUGAUUCAUAUUAAAUCAAAGAACCACACUUAAUUUAAAAUGGCAAAGUUACCUCUUUUAGAUGAUUUAAUUGAUUUAAAUGAGAUUAAAUCAAUUAACUCCAAUAAAAUUCACAAUUUUUUAAAUAAAUAUGAUAAAAAUAAACUGAAGACAUGGAAAUUCCUAUUUAAAUAUCCUGAUUAUUUUGACAAAAGAACAAAAUUAAAACAACUAAGAAUGAAUAAAAGUCGGGCAAAA
RNAcentral lists this long non-coding RNA (1188 nucleotides) under Lathyrus oleraceus (garden pea). RNAcentral's name for it is "Pisum sativum (pea) long non-coding RNA (PSAT_LNC010330)". The record is from RNAcentral. Lineage: Eukaryota; Viridiplantae; Streptophyta; Magnoliopsida; Fabales; Fabaceae.